GAGUGGUUACGCCCCAUUAAGAGAGCAGUGGUAAUAACUUUAUUGCAAAAAUACAGGAUCCCUCUUUCCCUCGUUCGCCAAGCAAUGAUACCCAGUACCAACACACACAAACACCCUACACACACACAAACACAUACAACUCGCUCUCUAAAAACGACUCCUAGCCCUCUUUCAUCCUCACAUCAUCUCUAUUUCACACACAAACAGUACAUCAUUUUAUCUCCUCUCUAUGUACUUUCUUUCAUUCGCCAUCGCUCUCUUUCUUCCACUCUCUCUUUGCAUUGAAUUUCCAUUGACUGUUCCGAGCAUAGUAUACAGCCCUCGAACUCAACUCUGUACCCCGAAGCCAGUUCCACUGCAUCUUUUCAUUGUUCCCCUGUAAUCAGGGACUGAUUUUAGACCUGGGACACCAGGUGUGUGCAAUUCAUUAUCAGUUAGAACAGAAAAAUAGCAGGCUCCGGACCUCGUAGGGUCAGAGUUGAAUACCCCCUGGUAUACAUUAUCCCUUCUUACUACAUAGUGAACCACUUCAGUACUAUGUAUGUAUAUGGUGCGAAUCGGAAAUCACACCCUAUUCCCUAUGUAGGGCUCUGGCCAAAAGUAGUGUGUAGUAUAUAGGGAGACGGGUGUCAUUUGGAAUCGAGCCAAUGACUUAGUACAGUAUUCAACAGCAGCAUUUAAUCACGUAUCUUCUUGACUUAAAUUCGUAAAUAAAGCGUCCGUUCGUGGCGUGUCCACUUCCUGCUUCCUAUCUGUCAGGUCAGAGGUCAAGGGUCAGGAGGGAAGGUUGAUUUGCAUAGCAGACUCAUGCGCUACAGUUGGCUACAUUCUCCAACAUCCACAACACAAACAGCAACAAAAUAAUCAAAUUAAUAAAUACAUUUUUUUUUUUUAAAUCACAAUGUUAAAAGACAGACAGAGAGCUGUGUCUUUGUCUAAGUGCCAACCUUUGGUUUAGAUACAACAAUCAUUUAUCAGUUCUGUCUAGAUCUCGUUCUGCACUGGCCAUUGGUCUCCAAAUAGGGAUUAGUUAUAAUGUAUUAAAUGUAUGUACUUAUUAUGUAUAUACAUACAUAUUAUAUGUACAUAUGUCAUAACAUGUUCAGCAGGUUAAAUCAUAUCAUAACAUUUUCAAGACAUGUCAGUGUUAUUCAGUUAGGGGUAAGUCAGAGAACCCUGUUAUAACUAGAGCAUGAGAGACAAUACCUACAGUACACAUAUGAAGUAUAUUUAUAAUAAAGUGUAGUUCACCAUUCAUAUCUGAGUAACAUCAGGGUCAGAGCUGAACGGAAAGGUCCAGAAGAAGAUAGAGAAUCUCAGUAACUAAGAACCAAUCAUGUUAACCUGAGGCCUCAAAUAAAUUAGAUUACAUUUACCCUUCAUCGAGUACACUUCAGCAAGUACCGUUCAGCUGGUACACUUUCCUAAGUACCCUUCAGCAAACACACUUCCCAAAUGACAAUUUAGCUCCCUUACCCUCGCUCGGUCAAAGCUCUCGCUCUCUCUCACGUUACAUCAGGUGUGCAGAAGUUUGUUCCGUUUAGCUACCGUUAUCUGUAAAAAAAAAAAUCUAUUCAAUUUUAAAAAAGGAAAAAGGAAGGUAGUUUCUCCCGAUAGAAAUGGGAGAGCAGCGUUAGCCGUUACAACGGUCAGUCAGGUGACCUCCAGCUGGACACUUGUGAAGGUCACUCAAUCCAGGUCCAGGAGGACCAGGCGUCACCACUAAAGUUAUCAAUAUCUUCAUUAUUAUCAUUAUUAGUAUGAACAUUCCAUAAGGUCUUAAUAACAUACAGGUUUCAUAUAUCGUUUUUCUGUACAUGACUUUAGUUAUUAUUAGAGUUCAGUCUAUACGUAGCUAUGUAGGCACGUACGCACUGGUCCUGGGGUUCCCUUGGAAACAACAUAUCCAGGUGUGCUGUGCUGUCGUCAGACAGGAAAUGCCCAUAAAGAAAAAGGAAGAAGCCGUGGCUUAUCGGUAACCCCCUCCUCCCCCUGUGGAUCUUUCAGUCACCUCAAAGUUCCAGAGCCCCUCUGAUUGGGGCAGAUAAAGCAGGGAGAUCAUAGGCUAAACCUGGCUAGCUAAUCUACUCCCCCCUUUAUAGGCCCAAAGAGGGGAAGGCUAGCAGGAUAAUGUUCAGAGUCGGACUAUAUUAGGAGGCUAACAGGCUAGCAGGUCGCAAGCUAGCUAGCUAGAAGUGUAAUUAGGUGAGUUUGUUGUUUUGGGUUUCAGAGUAAUUCCUGCUGAGGGGGACUAAGAAUGACUGCAUAGACUGAAUAGUUGAAGAAGGGCGGAGGGUGCGAGAUGAGGGUAGAGGGAGGUUAGUAGACCACUGAGGGCCGGACGUGGGGAGAGGUGUGUGUUUGGGGUUGGGGGGGGGGGUCCUAGACCAACCCCCUAUCGUGGCGUUGGGUGAGGUGCAUGGCUGCUUUGGAAGAUGCCUGUAGCGGUGUGGAGAGUUAGGACCCCGGAUGUCUGCCCUGGGAACUGCCUUUAGCGGUGUCACGGGUAAGGACCUGCAAAUAGCUGUCCUGGGAGGUGCCUGUAGAACUGUGGAGGGUUUGGAUCCUAUAAGGCUGCCCUGGGAGGUCCCCGUAGUGGUGUGGAGGGUAAGUAAGGACCCUAGACGUCCAAUGUGGGAUGUGCUUGUAGCGGUGUGAAGGGUAUGGACCCCAGCGAGCAGCCCUGGGAGGUGCCUGUAGCGUAGAUGCAUAUGGAGGCACGUCAGUGGUUUGAAGACCACUGUCUUAAGUGGUCUGAAGUCAGCUUCACCCCCGUCAGACACCAGAAACUCCCCGCGCCAUUGGGCAUCUCCUGCAGGGGGAGGGACAACACAGUGACGGACAGGCCCCAGAGGUGAAGGGUAAGGGGUCAUGAAAGGACUGGGUGAUGAUAAUUAUGAUAAUGAUGAUGAUUAUGAAGACGAAGAUACUGAAGUUGAAGAUGAUGAUGAUGACUAAGAUGAAGAUGGUGAUGAUGAAGAUGAUGAUGGUGUAACAAUACAGGGUCUCAGAGGAGAUUAGGUAAGUAAGCAGAGGCACUGACAUCUGUCUGCUUCACCUUCAGAAGGAGAGAGAGAGACGGGGAUAGAGAGAGAGAGAGAGAGAUGGGGAAUAGAGAGAGAGAGAGAGAGAGAUGGGGAAUAGAGAGAGACGGGGGAUAGAAAGAGACAGGGAUAG
Long non-coding RNA from Oncorhynchus tshawytscha (Chinook salmon), 3177 nucleotides. Lineage: Eukaryota; Metazoa; Chordata; Actinopteri; Salmoniformes; Salmonidae. The record is from Ensembl.